RNAcentral lists this ribosomal RNA (373 nucleotides) under uncultured organism. Its description in RNAcentral is "partial 16S ribosomal RNA". It matches the Rfam family "Bacterial small subunit ribosomal RNA", at positions 527 to 896 of the family's 1533-position model. The record is from RNAcentral.
GUAGGUGGCAAGCGUUGUCCGGAAUUAUUGGGCGUAAAGCGCGCGCAGGUGGUUCUUUAAGUCUGAUGUGAAAGCCCCCGGCUCAACCGGGGGGGGUCAUUGGAAACUGGGGAACUUGAGUGCAGGAGAGGAAAGUGGAAUUCCACGUGUAGCGGUGAAAUGCGUAGAUAUGUGGAGGAACACCAGUGGCGAAGGCGACUUUCUGGCCUGUAACUGACACUGAGGCGCGAAAGCGUGGGGAGCAAACAGGGAUUAGAUACCCUGGUAGUCCACGCCGUAAACGAUGAGUGCUAAGUGUUGGGGGGGUUUCCCGCCCCUCAGUGCUGCAGCUAACGCAUUAAGCACUCCGCCUGGGGAUACGGUCGCAAGACUG